AGGAUUACAGAAAAGUCAGUUGUAGGGAUAGAGAAAUCAUUGGGUUGAGGGAACUCAACCACAGAAAUGACAGAAAUAAACAGAUUUGCUUUGGUAAACUCAACUAGCAUAAGUCUGUAUGUUUUCACUGACUGUGUCAUUAGAACUUUCUUAAUUUUUGGAUGGAAAAUAUUAAUUUGGUUCUGAUGUUCAAUAUAAAUCCAGAAAAUGAAGUCAAUGGCUUUUUUAGACUUGAUCUUCAGAUAACAUAUAUUUUUCUGAUUAAAAAAAUUACCAGAGCCAGGAGAUAGUAAGAAAAGUACAAAUAUUCAAGGACUUCUCCAAAAUUUGGACGCUAGAAAUUUCAAGUAAGUUGAAGGUACAGAUAUGUACCCAGAUAUAAACAGGAGGGUUUCUGAGUUCCCAUCAUGGCACAGGGGAAAUGAAUCCGACUAGGAACCAUGAGGCUGUGGGUUCGAUCCCUGGCCUUGCUCAGUGGGUUAAAGAUCCAGUGUUGCUGUGAGCUGUGAUGUAUGUCACACAUGGCUUGGAUCCUGCGUUGCUGCGGCUGUGGCAUAGGCCGGCAGCUAUAGGUCCUAUUCGACCCCUAACUUGGAACCCUCCAUAUGCCGCAGGUGCACCCCUAAAAAGCAAAGAAUAAAUAAAAAUAAAUAAACAGGAGGGUUUCCUUUUCAAAAAAUGAUUACAUAUCCUGACAUGUUUAAUGAGCAUAACUCAUUCACUAAGAGACUUAAACAAAUACUAUUAAAAAUUUUAUUUCCUAUAUAAAAAUUAGAUAUUUGUUUAGAAAAUUAAAAGUAAAUGAGAGUAUUUUCUAAGUCCUUAAAACGAAAAAUAUUUAAUAGGCAUAACAUAAGCAAUAAAAUAUUAUGUUCAGGAGUUCCUGUCGUGGCUCAGUGGUUAACGAAGGGAACUCCUGGGAACCAUUUUCCAUAUAUAACACUGAUUUGUGAGACACUCUUCGAAAGCAAUUUCUUGAAAUAAGUAAACAAACAUGAAAAGAGUGACCUCCCUUGUCCCCUUUAUCCAUUUGCCAAAUCGUGCUGUCAAAGAAUUGUGGUGACCACAUCACAUCCUCUCACCAUCUUUGUCACAUUUCAUUUGUCUAGAAAAGGAACUCCCAGGAACCAGCAAGACAAGUGCACACAGCUUAAAGGUUUCUGGUCUGCACUCACAUUUCCUCCUUGCACAUCUAAUGUCGUUAAUAUUUCAGCAGCUGCGGCACUAGGGUCAAACUGCAAAUUUUAUCUAUUUAUUUCUGAAUCCUCAGUCAUCGACUUUGGAGAGAAAGAGAUUGAGAGUGACACCGAGUGAGAGGGAGAGAGGAGGAGAAAGAGAUGCACUUUUUAAGAACUGACAGUCGGAAAGAAAACAG
Molecule: long non-coding RNA, 1375 nt
Filed under: Sus scrofa (pig)
Lineage: Eukaryota; Metazoa; Chordata; Mammalia; Artiodactyla; Suidae
Description: lncRNA (ENSSSCG00015070463.1)
Source: RNAcentral